UCCGAGUUGACCCCGGCAGUCUCCCAUGAGUCCCCGCCAUUACGCGCUGGCAACAUGGAACGAGGGUUGCGCUCGUUGCGGGACUUAACCCAACAUCUCACGACACGAGCUGACGACAACCAUGCACCACCUGUGAACCGGCCCCAAAGGGGAAGGACUGUUUCCAGCCCGGUCCGGCCCAUGUCAAGCCUUGGUAAGGUUCUUCGCGUUGCAUCGAAUUAAUCCGCAUGCUCCGCCGCUUGUGCGGGCCCCCGUCAAUUCCUUUGAGUUUUAGCCUUGCGGCCGUACUCCCCAGGCGGGGCACUUAAUGCGUUAGCUACGGCGCGGAAAACGUGGAAUGUCCCCCACACCUAGUGCCCAACGUUUACGGCAUGGACUAC
RNAcentral lists this unclassified non-coding RNA (380 nucleotides) under uncultured Micrococcaceae bacterium. RNAcentral's name for it is "contains 16S-23S intergenic spacer region". The record is from RNAcentral. Lineage: Bacteria; Bacillati; Actinomycetota; Actinomycetes; Micrococcales; Micrococcaceae.